This 144-nucleotide ribosomal RNA is filed under the name Triticum aestivum (bread wheat). RNAcentral's name for it is "partial small subunit ribosomal RNA". Lineage: Eukaryota; Viridiplantae; Streptophyta; Magnoliopsida; Poales; Poaceae. The record is from RNAcentral.
AUGAACAAGGUGAAGGGCCAUGGUGGCAAGCACAAGGGGGCAGGAUCAGGAGGAGGAGGGAUCAGAAGGAAGUUGAGGCGACACACGGCCAGGCUAUACAUCAUCCGGCAAUGCGUCGUCAUGCUCCUCUGCUACCAUGACUGA